This 244-nucleotide unclassified non-coding RNA is filed under the name Hevea brasiliensis (rubber tree). The record is from RNAcentral. Lineage: Eukaryota; Viridiplantae; Streptophyta; Magnoliopsida; Malpighiales; Euphorbiaceae.
GGAUGUAAGAUAGCUCAAACCUCAGCUGCAAUAGUCCAUUGUUAGAUUUUUGGACAAUAGACUGAGGAACUGAACCUGUAAGCUUGUUUCCGGAUAAAUUUAGAAUAGUUAAAUUUGUCAGUUGCGCUAAAAAUUCUGGAAUGGUUCCUGUCAGUUCAUUGCCUGAUAAAUCUAAGAACUGUAUCGCUUUGAAAUUGGAAAAUGAGGAAGAAAUCUUUCCUGUCAAUUUACUUGCACUGAGGUU